RNAcentral lists this ribosomal RNA (393 nucleotides) under uncultured bacterium. RNAcentral describes it as "partial 16S ribosomal RNA". It matches the Rfam family "Bacterial small subunit ribosomal RNA", at positions 523 to 918 of the family's 1533-position model. The record is from RNAcentral.
AUACGGAGGAUCCGAGCGUUAUCCGGAUUUAUUGGGUUUAAAGGGAGCGUAGGCGGACGCUUAAGUCAGUUGUGAAAGUUUGCGGCUCAACCGUAAAAUUGCAGUUGAUACUGGGUGUCUUGAGUACAGUAGAGGCAGGCGGAAUUCGUGGUGUAGCGGUGAAAUGCUUAGAUAUCACGAAGAACUCCGAUUGCGAAGGCAGCUUGCUGGACUGUAACUGACGCUGAUGCUCGAAAGUGUGGGUAUCAAACAGGAUUAGAUACCCUGGUAGUCCACACAGUAAACGAUGAAUACUCGCUGUUUGCGAUAUACAGUAAGCGGCCAAGCGAAAGCGUUAAGUAUUCCACCUGGGGAGUACGCCGGCAAGGUUGAAACUCAAAUGAAUUGGCGGGG